AUAUGAAAUCCGCUUAAUUUCCGUUACGGAAAGCGGGGGAACCAACAACCGGAGGACGCGGGUAAGCAGGCGGUGCCGGUUAUGGGGUGAAUCCUUGAGUCUGUGAGAAGCUUAAGCUUCUCACAGAGGGAAGGUAGGGCGACUCUCAACGCCCGAAUCCGGCAGCUAACCUCGUAAGCGUAUUGCAGAGAGGAUCA
This 197-nucleotide small RNA is filed under the name Paenibacillus sp. RNAcentral's name for it is "c-di-AMP sequence". It matches the Rfam family "c-di-AMP riboswitch aptamer (ydaO/yuaA leader)". From Rfam's summary of the family: This family represents a conserved RNA structure found upstream of the ydaO and yuaA genes in Bacillus subtilis and related genes in other bacteria. The ydaO/yuaA element is thought to act as a genetic "off" switch for the ydaO and yuaA genes in its native state. It is believed that the element may be triggered during osmotic shock leading to activation of ydaO, a predicted amino acid transporter gene, and members of the yuaA-yubG operon which code for KtrA and KtrB K+ transporters. Lineage: Bacteria; Bacillati; Bacillota; Bacilli; Caryophanales; Paenibacillaceae. The record is from RNAcentral. RNAcentral also lists the same sequence under 1 other name.